GUGCUCACUUUGGCAGCACAUAUACUAAAAUUGGAAUGAUACAGAAAAGAUUAGCAUGGCCCCUGCACGAGGAGGACAUGCAAAUUCAUGAAGCAUUUCACAUUUUU
RNAcentral lists this small nuclear RNA (107 nucleotides) under Saimiri boliviensis boliviensis (Bolivian squirrel monkey). Lineage: Eukaryota; Metazoa; Chordata; Mammalia; Primates; Cebidae. The record is from RNAcentral.